UGUUACUUAUACACAAUGGAUUUUGGAAUAGUAGUAAUUAUAAAAUUUAACGGAUUUGGCGGCAAGAUAGCCAUUUAGAGGAACCUGCCCUAUAAACGAUGAACCACGAAUUACUCUACUUUUAUUUGAAAUUCAGUUUGUAUACCGCUGUUGUCAGUCAGUUUCUUUAGAAAACUUUCGCGCAUGAAAAAAUUAUAGACUUCAAGUAAAGGUGCAGCUUAUAUAAAAGAUAGAGGUGGGUUACAUUUAAAAGAUUAAUACGGAUAAAGUUUUUGAAACAACUUUUGAAGGUGGAUUUAAUUGUAAAGUUUAAUAAAACUUGAUGAGAGCUCUGUCUUGUG
RNAcentral lists this ribosomal RNA (341 nucleotides) under Balanus balanus. RNAcentral's name for it is "partial 12S ribosomal RNA". The record is from RNAcentral. Lineage: Eukaryota; Metazoa; Arthropoda; Thecostraca; Balanomorpha; Balanidae.